UACGUAGGGGGCAAGCGUUAUCCGGAUUUACUGGGUGUAAAGGGAGCGUAGGUGGCAAAUCAAGUCAGAUGUGAAAGCCCGGGGCUCAACCCCGGGAUUGCAUUUGAAACUGGUAUGCUAGAGUGCAGGAGAGGUAAGUGGAAUUCCUAGUGUAGCGGUGAAAUGCGUAGAUAUUCGGAGGAACACCAGUGGCGAAGGCGGCCUGCUGGGCUCUAACUGACGCUGAGGCUCGAAAGUGUGGGGAGCAAACAGG
Molecule: ribosomal RNA, 253 nt
Filed under: uncultured prokaryote
Description: partial 16S ribosomal RNA
Rfam family: Bacterial small subunit ribosomal RNA
Source: RNAcentral